This is an unclassified non-coding RNA of Colobus angolensis palliatus, 280 nucleotides long. It matches the Rfam family "Metazoan signal recognition particle RNA". From Rfam's summary of the family: The signal recognition particle (SRP) is a universally conserved ribonucleoprotein. It is involved in the co-translational targeting of proteins to membranes. Lineage: Eukaryota; Metazoa; Chordata; Mammalia; Primates; Cercopithecidae. The record is from Ensembl.
AGGCAGUGGCACAUGCCUAUGGUCCCAGCUACUCAGAAGUCUGAGGCAGGAGGAUCGGUUGAGCCCAGGAGUUCCAGGCCGUAGUGCACUUUGCCGAUCUGGUGAGCACAAUGAGUUCGGCAUCAAUAUGGUGACCUCCUAGGGGGGCCACCAAGUUGCAUCAAGAAGGGUAAACCAGCCCAAGUUAGAAAUGGAACAGGUCAAAACUCCUGUGCUGAUCAGUAGUAGGAUUGCACCUGUGAAUAGCCACUGUACUCCAGCCUGGGCAUUGCAGCAAAAA